Molecule: ribosomal RNA, 492 nt
Filed under: uncultured bacterium
Lineage: Bacteria
Description: partial 16S ribosomal RNA
Rfam family: Bacterial small subunit ribosomal RNA
Source: RNAcentral
AGUGAACGCUGGCGGUAGGCCUAACACAUGCAAGUCGAACGGCAGCACAGUAAGAGCUUGCUCUUACGGGUGGCGAGUGGCGGACGGGUGAGGAAUACAUCGGAAUCUACUUUUUCGUGGGGGAUAACGUAGGGAAACUUACGCUAAUACCGCAUACGACCUACGGGUGAAAGCAGGGGAUCUUCGGACCUUGCGCGAUUGAAUGAGCCGAUGUCGGAUUAGCUAGUUGGCGGGGUAAAGGCCCACCAAGGCGACGAUCCGUAGCUGGUCUGAGAGGAUGAUCAGCCACACUGGAACUGAGACACGGUCCAGACUCCUACGGGAGGCAGCAGUGGGGAAUAUUGGACAAAGGGCGCAAGCCUGAUCCAGCCAUACCGCGUGGGUGAAGGAGGCCUUCGGGUUGUAAAGCCCUUUUGUUGGGAAAGAAAAGCAGCAGGUUAAUACCCCGCUGUUCUGACGGUACCCAAAGAAUAAGCACCGGCUAACUUCGUG